CCUACGGGGGGCAGCAGUAGGGAAUCUUCCACAAUGGGCGCAAGCCUGAUGGAGCAACGCCGCGUGUGUGAUGAAGGGUUUCGGCUCGUAAAGCACUGUUGUAAGAGAAGAAUGACAUUGAGAGUAACUGUUCAGUGUGUGACGGUAUCUUACCAGAAAGGGACGGCUAAAUACGUGCCAGCAGCCGCGGUAAUACGUAUGUCCCAAGCGUUAUCCGGAUUUAUUGGGCGUAAAGCGAGCGCAGACGGUUAUUUAAGUCU
Molecule: ribosomal RNA, 260 nt
Filed under: uncultured Bacillota bacterium
Lineage: Bacteria; Bacillati; Bacillota
Description: uncultured Firmicutes bacterium partial 16S ribosomal RNA
Rfam family: Bacterial small subunit ribosomal RNA
Source: RNAcentral